CCUACGGGUGGCAGCAGUGAGGAAUAUUGGUCAAUGGACGCAAGUCUGAACCAGCCAAGUAGCGUGCAGGAUGACGGCCCUCCGGGUUGUAAACUGCUUUUAGUUGGGAAUAAAAGGGGGCUCGUGAGCCCCGUCUUGUAUGUACCAUCAGCAAAAGGACCGGCUAAUUCCGUGCCAGCAGCCGCGGUAAUACGGAGGGUCCGGGCGUUAUCCGGAUUUAUUGGGUUUAAAGGGAGCGUAGGCCGGCUUUUAAGUCAGCUGUGAAAGUCCGCGGCUCAACCGUGGAAUUGCAGUUGAAACUGGAGACCUUGAGUGCACAAAGGGAUGACGGAAUUCAUGGUGUAGCGGUGAAAUGCUUAGAUAUCAGGAAGAACACCGAUGGCGAAGGCGAGUGUCCGGGGGGCAACUGACGCUGAGGCUCGAAAGUGCGGGGAGCAAACAGGAUUAGAUACCCGAGUAGUC
This 462-nucleotide ribosomal RNA is filed under the name uncultured bacterium. RNAcentral's name for it is "partial 16S ribosomal RNA". It matches the Rfam family "Bacterial small subunit ribosomal RNA", at positions 338 to 795 of the family's 1533-position model. The record is from RNAcentral.